Molecule: long non-coding RNA, 733 nt
Organism: Heterocephalus glaber (naked mole-rat)
Lineage: Eukaryota; Metazoa; Chordata; Mammalia; Rodentia; Bathyergidae
Source: Ensembl
GUUCCAUAGCAUCACUAUGUGACUGCUGCUGCCUGAUAAUCUUGCUUCCAGCUCCCUGAGUCAACAACUAACUGAGGUGCCUUUUCUUUUACAAAAGGAUGUCAGCUCUGAGACCCAGGAAGAAAUAACAGACUUCACCUUGGAAUAGCUCACCUCACUCCUGCAUCAUUAAAGCGGAUUUUGUAAAGAAAACAAAAAUCAACCCCCAUUCCAGCCCCUCCUCAUUCCACCACUGAACAGAAAGAGUUUCCUGCUCCAGAACAAUGAUUAGACAACAUUUUCUGUAUAAGUUUCAUGAUCAAGAUCAUUAGUGAGCAAGGCAAUAUGUCAGCACAAUCUUUGGAUUCAAGCACAGCAACAUAUAAGAAGAAAACAUAUCACCAAAUAUUGAUAGAGUAAAUAUAAAGGAAGGCCCACUGGGGAGAAAAGAGUGAGCUGACAUGAUCAAGAAGUGGUUUUCAGUGACUGUGAUCAACAAGGAAAGGGAAAGACAAACUCUCCUCCCACUGAAGUCUUCAUAGCCAUACAUCACUUCUUUCCUUCUUCUAACCUUGUUUCAAAUGCAGCCGUAUUCAGGUCACAACUGAGACCUCAAUGAUCCGGUGAUGCUGUGAUUCUCCAGGACAAGAAACAUCCUGGGAGCUGAAAACCUCCUGGGAGGAACAAAACAUCCACUCAGUUCCUCAUUGUUCUUGGAUCUUUACCAUCUUGUUUACGCGGAUGUACUGAACUC